RNAcentral lists this ribosomal RNA (415 nucleotides) under uncultured bacterium. RNAcentral's name for it is "bacterial SSU rRNA". It matches the Rfam family "Bacterial small subunit ribosomal RNA", at positions 504 to 921 of the family's 1533-position model. The record is from RNAcentral.
CGUGCCAGCCGCCGCGGUAAUACGGAGGGUGCAAGCGUUAUCCGGAUUCACUGGGUUUAAAGGGUGCGUAGGUGGGCUAGUAAGUCCGUGGUGAAAUCCCCGAGCUUAACUUGGGAACUGCCAUUGAUACUAUUAGUCUUGAAUAUCGUGGAGGUAAGCGGAAUAUGUCAUGUAGCGGUGAAAUGCUUAGAUAUGACAUAGAACACCAAUUGCGAAGGCAGCUUGCUACACGGUCAUUGACACUGAGGCACGAAAGCGUGGGGAGCAAACAGGAUUAGAUACCCUGGUAGUCCACGCCCUAAACUAUGGAUACUCGACAUCAGCGAUACACAGUUGGUGUCUGAGCGAAAGCAUUAAGUAUCCCACCUGGGAAGUACGAUCGCAAGAUUGAAACUUAAAGGAAUUGGCGGGGGAC